UACGAAGGGGGCUAGCGUUGCUCGGAAUCACUGGGCGUAAAGCGCACGUAGGCGGAUUGUUAAGUCGGGGGUGAAAUCCUGGAGCUCAACUCCAGAACUGCCUUCGAUACUGGCGAUCUUGAGUCCGGGAGAGGUGAGUGGAACUCCGAGUGUAGAGGUGAAAUUCGUAGAUAUUCGCAAGAACGCCAGUGGCGAAGGCGGCUCACUGGCCCGGUACUGACGCUGAGGUGCGAAAGCGUGGGGAGCAAACAGG
Molecule: ribosomal RNA, 253 nt
Filed under: uncultured bacterium
Lineage: Bacteria
Description: partial 16S ribosomal RNA
Rfam family: Bacterial small subunit ribosomal RNA
Source: RNAcentral